RNAcentral lists this long non-coding RNA (3309 nucleotides) under Theobroma cacao (cacao). RNAcentral's name for it is "long non-coding RNA (TCAC_LNC004944)". Lineage: Eukaryota; Viridiplantae; Streptophyta; Magnoliopsida; Malvales; Malvaceae. The record is from RNAcentral.
GACUUAAAGUACUAAAAUUCUAAUAAAGAUAGGAAAAAGAAUCUCAAACUAAACAAAAUAAAGAAAAUAAAAUCAUAAGCUAACGAAAAUACUAAAUAAAAUAAAAUUCUUGAUGCGCCUGCAUCAGUCCCCUCGGGUUAGAAAAACUCGGCUCCGACGAGUUGGCCUUAAUACACUCCUCAUAGGUGGCGGGAUUUACUUGUUUCAAUUCCUUUUCAUUACCACCUUCAGCUCCAAAAUUUUCAACAGAUAAAUACCCAGUGAUUUUGCUGAUCUUGCUGUUUGUAGGGCUUGAAGUUGCUGAUUUCUUAAUCUCUUCUUUAAGUGGAUAUAAAGUAUACCACUUGUUAUCCUUGUAGAAGGAAUAAGUAUUUGGCUUCGUCUUGUGGUCCAUAUCGUGAUCAUACAACCACGGUCUACCAACAAGAAUAUGACCAACAUCCAUUGGCACAACAUCACAUAGGGUCUCAUCAUCCAAGUUGUCUCUCAUAGUGAAUUUCACCAAACAUUGAGUAUUUACCGGUAUUUCGUGUCCCUUUUUUAUCCAUCUAAUCUUGUAAGGAUGAGGAUGUUUGCUUGUAAGAAGCUUCAAUUUGUCUAUUGCUUCUUUUGAAAUAAUAUUUUGCACGCUUCCUCCAUCAAUAACGAGAUCACACACUUUACCUUCACAAACAUGUGUGCGAAAAAUAUUUCGCCUCCUCCAAUCUUUUUCUUCCUCAUUGAUUGUUGUAGUCAUCACUCUUUGUACCAUCAAGGACUCACCUUGUACAGGGUACACAUCAAUUUCCUUUAUUUCCUCAUCAUAUUUAUCAUAAAUGGGUUCUAAUUUUUCUUUAAAUUUUACUAAGUUUACCCUUCUUUGUGGGCAAGCAAAAGAAAUGUGAUCUUUCUCCCCACAAAUAAAACAUCGAAUAUGAGAAUUAUUGCCUCCUUUAUUUGUAGAAGAACUAGAACUGUUUUGUCUACCAUAAGGCAUUAUACUCUUGCCUUUAUCGUUCUUUUCAACAUUGGUUGCACCCCCAUUAGUUUUAUUGGUUGUGGUAGCCUCUUGAUAAUUUUGUUGGGAUGUUUGGUAACCUUGUCUUGCUCCAAAAUCGUUUUGCCAAUCGGUGCCAUAUAAAGCCUUUCUAGCACCGUAGCGUGAAACCUUUCUUUCUGCUGAUAAAGCAUAUUGACGAGCAUCUUCAAUGUUGUACAAACGAACUACUCCCAUCUCGUUUAAUAGAAUGAUUUAAACCAGCAAGAUAACGAGAAGUAAUUUGUUUGUUACUCUCAGCUAACCCAACCCGAAUUGAUAGGUUAUUGAACUCCGAUGUAUACUCCUCAACGGUCAUGUUAUUUUGCCUCUAACAAUGAAACUUUUAAUAUAAUUCCAUAGUAUAAUCAGCAGGUAAAAAUUGCUUUUGUAAUUUGCUUUUCAUGUGCUCCCAAGUGUUGAUUUUAAGCUUACCUUGUCGUGCACGUUGCUCUUCAACUCUCUUCCACCAUUGAAGUGCAGUACCUUUUAAUUUCAACUUCACAAAUAAUACUUUUCGAUUUUUUGCCAUAAGUUUUCAUUCAAAGUAAUUUUCCAAACUAGCUUCCCAAUCCAAAUAUUCCUCCGCAUGAAAUUUCCCAUGAAAAUCAAUUACGUCAAUCCUGAUUCCUCCACCGUUUAAAUCAAGAGCAUGUAAUAACUGGCCCUCCAAUCCAACUCUUGCCGCUUGAUUUGCGGGUCCAUCUUCAUGGAAGGGGUUCUCGUUCUCAAAUUCAUCAUCAUCCUCGAGAUUGUGAAUCUCAAGGGGGUUGUGGUCACCUUCCGGAUUCUCCAUUCGGGCUUCCACUGGUUCCUGACGCUGCAAGGCUUGCGCAGCCCGGGUCAAGUCAUCAAUCAUUCUCCGCAUCUCUGCCAACUCAGCUUGUUGGGGCUGAUUGCCUCUAUCUCGACCUCUGCCUCGACCUACCAUAGUCUCCUAGCGCAAAUCCUAACAGGAUAGUAAGAUCGUUUGCUUUGAUACCACUUGAUGUAGCCGGAAAAGGUUUAGGGCAAUUAGAACUCAACAAUAAGGCUAGAAUAGGACUGAUUGUGUUGGAACAAUAGAAAGAUAAUUGGGUUUUCAAAGAAACCUCUUAAAUAAAUAUUCAAAAUAAUAAAAGAUGAUAAUAAUUUUUUACGUAAGAUACCUAUUUAUAAUAGUUAAGAUAAAUCCUAAUCAAAUAGUAAUUCUAAUCCUAAAUAAAGACUUAAAGUACUAAAAUUCUAAUAAAGAUAGGAAAAAGAAUCUCAAACUAAACAAAAUACUAAACCCUAAAUCCUAAGCUAACGAAAAUACUUAAUAAAAUAAAAUUCUUGAUGCGCCUGCAUCAAUACAGCCCAUACACAAAGCUUGUCUUUUGCUUUUAGAGAAGGAAGAAAAUUUCCUUUUUCUUUUUGAGGGUUUUUUCUACUGACUCGAAGUCCAUUUCUGUUCACCAACUUAUUUUCUGAUUCCUGAACGUCAGAAAAUGCAGAAACGAACUUCUGAAAGUCAACUUCCAGUGAAACAAACAGAGCCAUUACUUUGAAGUUCAGCUUGGGUUUUCACCAUCCUAAAAAAAAUGGAGUUUGGGAUGUAUUUUAUAUGUCCAAAAAUUUGACUUCCAUUUGGUCUCUACCUUAAUCCACGUGUUGGAAAGUUUGGGGGUGAAGAAAUUAGCGUGAAUGGGUGGAAAGAUGACUAGAGUGAGGUUGAGCAGUAAAAAAAUAUUAGUUUACCUUUUUCUCAAAGUGGAGAGAAUAGAAGGGUAAGUUGUAAGUUUAUGGGCUACAACUACUAUAAUCCAUCUUGACAUUAUUAUUAAAAUACAGUUUAAUGAUUUAAAGGGAAUGACAAGAAGAAAAUAUUAAAGUGGAAUACUUUCAAAUCCUUUUGAUUUUGGGGGACUCUAAAAAGUGACAUUUUGAGGGGUUUAAUUUUACUGUCAAACCAUAUUCCCUCCCUUUUAAGGAAAAUUUCCAAAUAGGAUAAGGGUUUAAAUUUUACUCCCUUUCACUUUUAUCCUUUAUUUUGCCUAUAUAUGAAAACAUUGCAAUAACAUUGAGUUAAUGCUAGUUUGGAAACUUUUGUUUCAUUGGUCAAAUAUAACAUUAAUGGAAAAUCCCAUGGUGGAAUUACAUGUGCCACUAUUUCAUUUGGCAAAUAUAAAAUAAACUAAUGUAAAAGAAUCUAUCUUGAUUGGCCAUAUUUUGGAAUAACAGCUUUAAAAUAAAUUUAAAUUUACUUUUUAUUUAACACAAUCUGAAAGCCAGCAACUUAGCGCAAUCAAUCGUGCUGCAAAUUCUCAGACGAG